UACGAAGGGGGCUAGCGUUGCUCGGAAUCACUGGGCGUAAAGCGCACGUAGGCGGAUCUUUAAGUCAGGGGUGAAAUCCCAAGGCUCAACCUUGGAACUGCCUUUGAUACUGGGGAUCUCGAGUCCGGAAGAGGUGAGUGGAACUGCGAGUGUAGAGGUGAAAUUCGUAGAUAUUCGCAAGAACACCAGUGGCGAAGGCGGCUCACUGGUCCGGUACUGACGCUGAGGCGCGAAAGCGUGGGGAGCGAACAGG
RNAcentral lists this ribosomal RNA (253 nucleotides) under uncultured bacterium. RNAcentral's name for it is "partial 16S ribosomal RNA". It matches the Rfam family "Bacterial small subunit ribosomal RNA", at positions 524 to 776 of the family's 1533-position model. The record is from RNAcentral.